This 460-nucleotide ribosomal RNA is filed under the name uncultured bacterium. RNAcentral describes it as "partial 16S ribosomal RNA". It matches the Rfam family "Bacterial small subunit ribosomal RNA", at positions 338 to 795 of the family's 1533-position model. The record is from RNAcentral.
CCUACGGGUGGCAGCAGUGAGGAAUAUUGGUCAAUGGACGAGAGUCUGAACCAGCCAAGUAGCGUGAAGGAUGACUGCCCUAUGGGUUGUAAACUUCUUUUAUAAAGGAAUAAAACGAGGCACGUGUGCCUUUUUGCAUGUACUUUAUGAAUAAGGAUCGGCUAAGUCCGUGCCAGCAGCCGCGGUAAUACGGAGGAUCCGAGCGUUAUCCGGAUUUAUUGGGUUUAAAGGGAGCGUAGAUGGGUUGUUAAGUCAGUUGUGAAAGUUUGCGGCUCAACCGUAAAAUUGCAAUUGAUACUGGCAGUCGUGAGUACAGUUGAGGUAGGCGGAAUUCGUGGUGUAGCGGUGAAAUGCUUAGAUAUCACGAAGAACCCCGAUUGCGAAGGCAGCUUACUAAACUGUGACUGACAUUGAUGCUCGAAAGUGUGGGUAUCAAACAGGAUUAGAUACCCGGGUAGUC